UACGGAGGGAGCUAGCGUUGUUCGGAAUUACUGGGCGUAAAGCGCGCGUAGGCGGCUUUGUAAGUUAGAGGUGAAAGCCCGGGGCUCAACCCCGGAAUUGCCUUUAAGACUGCAUCGCUUGAAUCCGGGAGAGGUGAGUGGAAUUCCGAGUGUAGAGGUGAAAUUCGUAGAUAUCGGGAGGAACACCAGUGGCGAAGGCGGCGAUCUGGGAAGAUACUGACGCUGAGGUGCGAAAGCGUGGGGAGCGAACAGG
Molecule: ribosomal RNA, 253 nt
Filed under: uncultured bacterium
Lineage: Bacteria
Description: partial 16S ribosomal RNA
Rfam family: Bacterial small subunit ribosomal RNA
Source: RNAcentral